AUGCCUCCCCAGCUCCUCCUACACAGCCUCCUCCAGCUCCGGGUGCCCCCUCGCCACCCCCUCCUCCGCCUCCUCCACUCCUACAACCCCAUUGACCGCCCGCCGCCGCAGGACCCGCCCCUGCACGACGCCGAGCUUUGGAUCGCCAAGGCGCUCGCGACUGCCGCCUUACUCCUGCCACACUACCUCCCGGCAUUCCGCCGCCUCGCGCCCUCCCAGGUCGCCGCCGCCGCCGCGCUCCGCCACGCGCCUUGCGCCUCCUCGACGCUCCACCUCUUCUCUGCGCUGCAUUCCCCCCACUCCCAGCUCGCCAUCCCCCCGUCCGCUCAUUCCUACCGUUACGUCAUCUCGUUGAUGUGCCAGUCCGGCCGCCACACUGAUGCCCUCCAACUGUUCGACCAAAUGACGGACCAGUCUGGUUACUUUCCCAAUGCUCGUUUUCUCUCGUUCCUGUCCGGUUCCUGCGCCACUGCAGGCCUUCUUGAUGCCGCUGCAGCAUUGCUCUCAAAGGCAUCCCAAUUUGGUUGUUCCAUUGAAGCGUAUGCAUAUAACAAGCUCAUGGGCUUGUUCAUUGGCCGUGGCCGGGUGCAGGAGGCUGUGGCAUUGUUUGAGGGGUGGAUCCAGGGGAGAGUAUAUUCUCCGGACGCGUGGAGCUUCAAUGUCAUCAUCAAGGGGGUUUGCAAGGUGGGGGAUGUUCAAAAAGCGCUCGAGUUGGUCGAAAGGAUGGAUGAGUUUGGUUGCUCACCAGAUACUGUCACACAUAAUAUUCUUGUGAAUGGGCUAUGCAGGGCAAAGGAGGUGAGUAAGGGUCGUGAGGUGUUGAGGAGGCUUCAGAGAGAUGGUGUUUGCAAGCCCAAUGUAGUGACAUACACCUCAGUAAUCUCAGGUUACUGUAAGGCUGGCAGGAUGGGGGAUGCAAUGGCAGUAUACGAUGACAUGGUUGCGUGUGGGACAUCACCCAAUGUGGUCACAUACAAUGUGCUAAUCAAUGGAUAUGGCAAGGCUGGGAAUAUGGGGUAUGCGGUGGCAGUGUAUCAGCAAAUGAUACUUCGUCGCUGCCUUCCUGAUGUUGUGACAUUUAGCUCAUUGAUUGAUGGAUAUUGUCGGUGCGGACAGCUUGAUGAUGCAAUGAAGAUUUGGACUGAGAUGUCUCAGUAUCAUAUUCAACCAAAUGCACACACGUUCUGUAUCAUAAUACACACAUUUUGUAAGCAGAACAGAUCAGGGGAAGCACUUCAUUUUUUGAAAAAAAUGAACAUGAGAACAGACAUUGCACCACAAGCGUUUAUAUAUAACCCUGUGAUUGAUGUACUGUGCAAGGGUGGAAAGGUGGACGAAGCAAACAUGAUUCUAAUGGAGAUGGAAGAGAAAGGAUGUCAUCCCGACAAGUAUACAUAUACUAUUUUGAUAAUUGGGCACUGCAUGAAGGGUAGGAUAGCAAAAGCCAUCACAUUUUUCCAUAAAAUGGUAGAGACUGGGUGUACCCCUGACAGUAUAGUAGUCAAUUCUUUUAUUAGCUGCCUUUUAAAGUCUGGGAUGCCUGGUGAGGUGGAUCAUAUAAUGCGUAUUGCAGCAGGGGGUGCUUCAUCGAGUUGGAAAGAUCCUUCUCCUGUAACCCAAAGCGUAGACAUUUCAGUAGCUGUAUAG
Molecule: ribosomal RNA, 1647 nt
Filed under: Triticum aestivum (bread wheat)
Lineage: Eukaryota; Viridiplantae; Streptophyta; Magnoliopsida; Poales; Poaceae
Description: partial small subunit ribosomal RNA
Source: RNAcentral